This 253-nucleotide ribosomal RNA is filed under the name uncultured bacterium. Its description in RNAcentral is "partial 16S ribosomal RNA". It matches the Rfam family "Bacterial small subunit ribosomal RNA", at positions 524 to 776 of the family's 1533-position model. The record is from RNAcentral.
GACGGAGGGUGCAAGCGUUAUUCGGAAUUAUUGGGCGUAAAGGGCGUGUAGGCGGCCAGAUAAGUCAGAGGUGAAAGCCCGGGGCUCAACCCCGGAAGUGCCUUUGAAACUAUCUGGCUUGAGUGCGGGAGAGGAAAGCGGAAUUCCCAGUGUAGAGGUGAAAUUCGUAGAUAUUGGGAGGAACACCGGUGGCGAAGGCGGCUUUCUGGACCGACACUGACGCUGAGGCGCGAAAGCGUGGGGAGCAAGCAGG